Molecule: ribosomal RNA, 1164 nt
Filed under: uncultured euryarchaeote
Lineage: Archaea; Methanobacteriati; Methanobacteriota
Description: bacterial SSU rRNA
Rfam family: Archaeal small subunit ribosomal RNA
Source: RNAcentral
GGGGAUACCCGGGAAACUGGGGAUAUACCCCAUAGACUAUGGAAUCUGGAAUGAUCUGUAGUCGAAAGGUCCGCCGCUUUAGGAUGGGUCUGCGGCCGAUUAGGUUGUUGUUGGGGUAACGGCCCAACAAGCCUGUAAUCGGUACGGGUUGUGGGAGCAAGAGCCCGGAGAUGGAUUCUGAGACACGAAUCCAGGCCCUACGGGGCGCAGCAGGCGCGAAAACUUUACAAUGCGGGAAACCGUGAUAAGGGAACUCCGAGUGCCCGUUAAAUCGGGCUGUCCACCAGUUUAGACAACUGGUGAAGAAAGGGCCGGGCAAGACCGGUGCCAGCCGCCGCGGUAAUACCGGCGGCUCGAGUGGUGGCCACUAUUACUGGGCUUAAAGCGUUCGUAGCUGGUUUGUUAAGUCUCUGGGGAAAUCUACCGGCUUAACCGGUAGGCGUCUCAGGGAUACUGGCAGACUAGGGACCGGGAGAGGUGAGAGGUACUCCAGGGGUAGGAGUGAAAUCCUGUAAUCCUUGGGGGACCACCUGUGGCGAAGGCGUCUCACCAGAACGGCUCCGACAGUGAGGGACGAAAGCUGGGGGAGCAAACCGGAUUAGAUGCCCGGGUAGUCCCAGCUGUAAACGAUGCGCGUUAGGUGUAUCGGUGACCACGAGUCACCGAGGUGCCGAAGAGAAAUCGUGAAACGUGCCGCCUGGGAAGUACGGUCGCAAGGCUGAAACUUAAAGGAAUUGGCGGGGGAGCACCACAACGGGUGGAGCCUGCGGUUUAAUCGGACUCAACGCCGGAAAACUCACCAGUUAAGACAGCUGAAUGAUAGUCGGGCUGAAGACUCCACUUGACUAGCUGAGAGGAGGUGCAUGGCCGUCGUCAGUUCGUACUGUGAAGCAUCCUGUUAAGUCAGGCAACGAGCGAGACCCACGCCAACAGUUGCUAGCUCGUCCUCCGGGAUGGAGGGGACACUGUUGGGACCGCCUCUGCUAAAGAGGAGGAAGGAAUGGGCAACGGUAGGUCAGCAUGCCCCGAAUUACCUGGGCUACACGCGGGCUACAAUGGGUGGGACAAUGGGUAUCGACACCGAAAGGUGAAGGCAAUCUCCUAAACCCAUCCUUAGUUCGGAUUGUGGGUUGCAACUCACCCACAUGAAGGCUGGAAUUCUGU